AGUGAACGCUGGCGGCAGGCCUAACACAUGCAAGUCGAGCGGCAGCGGGUCCUUCGGGAUGCCGGCGAGCGGCGGACGGGUGAGGAAUGCGUCGGAAUCUGCCUUUUUGUGGGGGAUAACGUAGGGAAACUUACGCUAAUACCGCAUACGACCUACGGGUGAAAGUGGGGGACCGCAAGGCCUCACGCAGAAAGAUGAGCCGACGUCGGAUUAGCUAGUUGGCGGGGUAAAGGCCCACCAAGGCGACGAUCCGUAGCUGGUCUGAGAGGAUGAUCAGCCACACUGGAACUGAGACACGGUCCAGACUCCUACGGGAGGCAGCAGUUGGGAAUAUUGGACAAUGGGCGCAAGCCUGAUCCAGCCAUGCCGCGUGUGUGAAGAAGGCCUUCGGGUUGUAAAGCACUUUUGUCCGGAAAGAAAUCCUGUCGGCUAAUACCCGGCGGGGAUGACGGUACCGGAAGAAUAAGCACCGGCUAACUUCGUG
RNAcentral lists this ribosomal RNA (484 nucleotides) under uncultured bacterium. Its description in RNAcentral is "partial 16S ribosomal RNA". It matches the Rfam family "Bacterial small subunit ribosomal RNA", at positions 29 to 507 of the family's 1533-position model. The record is from RNAcentral.